CGCGUAGGCGGCUUUGUAAGUCUGGAGUGAAAGUCCUCUUUUCAAGGGAGGAAUUGCUUUGGAAACUAUAGAGCUUGAGUGCAGGAGAGGUUAUCGGAAUUCCCGGUGUAGCGGUGAAAUGCGUAGAUAUCGGGAGGAACAUCGGUGGCGAAGGCGGGUAACUGGACUGCAACUGACGCUGAGGCGCGAAAGUGUGGGAGCAACA
RNAcentral lists this ribosomal RNA (205 nucleotides) under uncultured bacterium. RNAcentral's name for it is "partial 16S ribosomal RNA". It matches the Rfam family "Bacterial small subunit ribosomal RNA", at positions 568 to 773 of the family's 1533-position model. The record is from RNAcentral.